GCUUGAUGAAAACUGCUCUUGACACAUAUGAUAGAGCUAAAAAACAUAUGUAAAAGACGAAAAUGCCCAUGUAGCAGUUUACUACCGAAGUAAAGAACCGGCUGCAGUUAACUGCUGAAGUGUGAAGUUUUUUUUUUUUUUUCUUUUUCGUCGGCAGUUAACUGCAGUCGGUUUCUUACUUCGGUAGUUAACCGUUGCAGGGGCAUUUUCGUCAUUUACAUGUGUUUUUCAGCCCUAUCAUAUGUGUCAACAGCAAUUUUCUAGC
Molecule: microRNA precursor, 265 nt
Filed under: Medicago truncatula (barrel medic)
Lineage: Eukaryota; Viridiplantae; Streptophyta; Magnoliopsida; Fabales; Fabaceae
Description: miR2087 stem-loop (mtr-MIR2087)
Rfam family: MIR2629 microRNA precursor family (bases 137-206)
Source: miRBase by way of RNAcentral